Molecule: ribosomal RNA, 446 nt
Filed under: uncultured bacterium
Lineage: Bacteria
Description: partial 16S ribosomal RNA
Rfam family: Bacterial small subunit ribosomal RNA
Source: RNAcentral
CCUACGGGGGGCAGCAGUCGAGAAUCAUUCACAAUGGGGGAAACCCUGAUGGGGCGACGCCGCGUGGGGGAAUGAAGGUCUGCGGAUUGUAAACCCCUGUCAUGUGGGAGCAAAUUAAAAAGAUAGUACCACAAGAGGAAGAGACGGCUAACACUGGGCCAGCAGCCGCGGUAAUACAGAGGUCUCAAGCGUUGGUCGGAAUAACGGGGCGUAAAGGGUGCGGAGGCUGUUUCGUAAGUCGGGUGUGAAAGGCGCGGGCUCAACCCGCGGACUGCACAUGAUACUGCGAGACUAGAGUAAUGGAGGGGGAACCGGAAUUCUCGGUGUAGCGGUGAAAUGCGUAGAUAUCGGGAGGAACACUCGUGGCGAAGGCGGGUUCCUGGACAUUAACUGACGCUGAGGCACGAAGGCCAGGGGAGCGAAAGGGAUUAGAUACCCCUGUAGUC